GACCUCUGUCACCUAUUAAAAUUGGAACGAUACAGAGAAGAUUAGCAUGGCCCCUGCACAAGGAUGAGACUUCUCUCCAUCAAUGUAAUCAAUAACAU
Molecule: small nuclear RNA, 98 nt
Filed under: Rhizopus delemar RA 99-880
Lineage: Eukaryota; Fungi; Mucoromycota; Mucoromycetes; Mucorales; Rhizopodaceae
Also listed under: 1 other name
Source: RNAcentral